Molecule: ribosomal RNA, 347 nt
Filed under: uncultured fungus
Lineage: Eukaryota; Fungi
Description: SSU rRNA
Rfam family: Eukaryotic small subunit ribosomal RNA
Source: RNAcentral
GUAGUCAUAUGCUUGUCUCAAAGAUUAAGCCAUGCAUGUCUAAGUAUAAGCACUUUAUACUGUGAAACUGCGAAUGGCUCAUUAAAUCAGUUAUCGUUUAUUUGAUAGUACCUUACUACAUGGAUACCUGUGGUAAUUCUAGAGCUAAUACAUGCUAAAACCCUCGACUUCGGAAGGGGUGUAUUUAUUAGAUAAAAAACCAACGCCCUUCGGGGCUCCUUGGUGAAUCAUAAUAACUAAGCGAAUCGCAUGGCCUUGCGCCGGCGAUGGUUCAUUCAAAUUUCUGCCCUAUCAACUUUCGAUGGUAAGAUAGUGGCUUACCAUGGUGGCAACGGGUAACGGGGAAU